UCGCCUUUUGUUUGUUAAUUAACCUGUUGAACUAUACCUGCUCUGCACUGCGUCCUGCAUUUGGGUCCUAUAUCCUGCUCACCACACAACCCUGACAGAUGACUUUUUCAGAUGAUGACAUUCUUUCUCAUUUGGUGACAGCAGAUGUCCACAGAUGACGAGGAUGCAUUUACAAAUGGGAUGAAAAUCGACAUUGUGAUGGUGAAAGACAGAAGACUUGGUGGUCCUCGAGGAAGAAGUGAUCCCUUCGGAUCUGAAGGACGUCCCGAAUGCCGUUGCCAUACUGAUGGGCUUUCUUUUUGCUCUCAACAUAGACUAUCCAAGGGAACUGAGGUACAUCUUUGAAGUCAUCCCAAAAGGUCCUCAUGAACAUUGGUGGAGGACAGUGUUCCUCACUUGUGCAUGGUUUAAGAAAUAAACUGCAAAAAACCAUGUACGGUUGUGCUCUGAAGGUUUUGCACUUUAUGCCGAAGUAAAAUACUGUUAGUAGACAGUGUUGAAGCAUUCAGUACUGUCUCAGCAGUUUAACAGUAUUUAUUUUCAUUGCUUAAAUUCAUACACUUUGUUUUGUAUAGUGUUAUUGGCACACAAUGUAGAACAGUUGCAUCAUUUUGAGUUGUAUAGCAAACACCAUCAUUGUUUGGAAAUGGUUUUAUUGUCAAACUAAUAUUGUGUUACCAUUCAGUGUUUUCUAUUCUAUGCAGACUGCACACGUUUUUAUCUGUUCAUAUAUGGCUGAUGGCAUAGGGUAUGUUUCUGUGGCUGUUCACCGACUAGUUAUGGUCUUUAAAGGAUCAGUGUGUAGCAUUUUUGUGGCAACAGCAAUGUCAUUUCAAAUUUCAACUAUCUGCUCCCACUUCCACUCUAAGAUACCAGGAAUUUAUCUUCAGGAAAUUUGACACCUAACUAAAACAUAACUGUGAAUAUUGCGUAACAUUUCUACCAAUAGAUCCUAAACCCUGAACCUUCCGGUUGAAAAAGUGAUAGACUUUGGCCUCUGUUGUCAGAAGUAAAUGUCAUCUUUGAUCAAUAAAUGUUAAGGUGCAUGGAUAUUGGUAUUUGUCAUGUUUCUCAUUAAAAAUGCAAUCAUCCUUUUAAUUGAAGUGAUCUUCAUUAGGGUAUAGCAUAAUUUAAAUUUUUAAAGUCAGUUAGCCAGUAGGGUUGGGCGACGUCUACAUUGAAACAUCGGGAUGGGCGAUGGCAUCGGGGGCAGAUGCUCAGAUGGGGAUCUUAUGUGCAUGUGUUCACUCGCACGGACUUUACUCGGUUAAAAACUUGGUAGCCUAUGACGCUACAAGUCGUGGUGGAUGUUUUACAAGCACGACCAGGUAAAGCAGCAGUGAACACACAGAUGUUGGUUUCACUUGUUUGAUAGGCUCCGUCAUUAACAAGCCCACAAGAGGCUCACCUGCUAACGGAUCACGCGUGGAAAAAUACGGGAAAAGAGUUCUGUGUCUUUUAGGCGACUUUAUAAAACGUACUGCUGACGGGCAAAGGGGGAGACGGAGGCGGGGCAAGCCGGUGUGUGUAACUGAGGUGUAGGCCUCUGGUGUGUCUGAGUGUGGAGAGAAGAGAAAUCUGAGGACGGUGCGAAGCAUGUUUUAAAUUUAUAAUGUUCGCGGUGAUUAAGAUUUGCUUUCACAGGGUAGUAUUAUGUGAAAAAUUUAGAUUGUUUUUCGCUGGGGGGGCAAGGUUUUACAAUCACGAUGCCUGCUCAACCAUCGACCAUCUGUCAGCCAUCGCCGAUAGACGAUGGCAUCAUCUAUCGGCCCAACCCAAAUAGCCAGUUUGAAAUGUAUGUUGAAGUGUAAAUAACUGAAAAUGUAGUUAAGUAAAUGUAUACAAUUGAAUCAAUGGUAGAGUUAACUCAACAAGUCAUUAGUUAUGUUGAAAUGGAUUUGUUUAUUAAUUGAAUAAACCUUUUUAAUUGAGCUAACAUAAAUUUUAAAGUUGAAAGAACUACCAUGAGCAGUUAAAGCAACUGACAAAGCCAAGUCAACUGAACCUCCAACCGAUGUUGACAGAACAUAUUAUUUAAAUUAAGAUGAAUUAAUCUGCUUAGUUCAUUAGACUAACUAAUGCACAUCAACCAAGCUAAAGGUUUACACACCACAGGAUAUUUAUUUAACAUAACAUUUUGUGAUGUUAGAAGAACAAACUGGGUUAUUUCACCUAAGGUAAAAUUUUAAGGCAGCCCUUUCACUCAUAUUUUUAGGUUGAAAAAUCGUGUUAGAUUUUACAGUGUUUGGGGUAGCCCACUUUUGGUCCAGCACAGAGACUUUUGAGUGAAAAGUGAGAAAGGAGAAAGAUGCAGUGGUUGUCUGAAAGUUUACAGAUUUUCUCAUCAGCAGGACAAACAUGGACUGUAAGACCGACCCGCUGGAAUGCUGUCUGUUUUCUAGUGGUGAAACACGUCAUUGCCACAAACACACUGUGAGACAAGACAAAGUGUGAACAUCAGUCUUAAUAUAGUUUGACCCGGCCUUGACAUCACGAACCUACAUUCAACAAUAGAAACAUCACUAAUAUCAAAAUGAAACGUCAUUAAAGAAUGUGGUUAGAACAGCACCUUACGAGGAGCUACACAAACUGUGAGGGGCAGAAAGUUUGAUCAUCUUAAAUAACUAAUAAAGCUUAUGAAUACAAAAUUAGAGACUGAAUCCACAACGGACCUACCAGCGAACAUCCAGCCCGCCAAACCAGCUUCUUUCUUUACUGACUGGUAAUGUGCCGGGCACUUUGUAGCUUAACUGUAACUCCUUUUUAACUGAUCACCGUUGCACAGAUUACAUAAAUAUACUUCUAUUCUGUCUUAAACAAUACCACACAGGAGGGAACAUAAUGUUCCUGCUGCACAUUUUUUCCUUUGCCUGACCACAUGUGCCCUAAUCCCCGACACUAUCUAAAGAACACAAGUUGCACUAUUGCAAACAUUUAUCUUUACCAACAUCUUUACACCUUCAUCUUCCUCCACUUCUUUUCAGGUGGUGAAACACGUCAUUGUUAAAUAUACACCGUGGGACUGGACAAAGUGAGAACUUGAGACUCGAUGGUGGAUCUUUGU
Long non-coding RNA from Micropterus salmoides (largemouth bass), 3064 nucleotides. RefSeq lists it as uncharacterized. NCBI's taxonomy places the organism in Eukaryota, Metazoa, Chordata, Actinopteri, Centrarchiformes, Centrarchidae. The transcript has 4 exons. The record is from RefSeq and is a predicted model, not a curated record.